GUCGAAGAGGCGACGCGGUUUGGUUUAGAGUGAGUGAUUAUAUUGUUGAAUUUUAAUGCUGAUAGCUUAGCAUCCUGAUUGUUUUCUACGGACGUGAACAGAUUGGACAUCAUGGAAAACCCCACAAGUGUUCCUGAAUUGAUGCAAUUCGUCCAAGCGACCUUACAGAGCAUGCAAGAAAAGUUUCAAAAUGUCGAAGACUCAAUCGUGAAACGAAUGACCGAGACUGGGAAGAAGCUGGACGAGAUAGAGAAAGGACUCACGGAUCUGAUGGAUCAUUCUGGAAUGGGGGAGCCUUAUGAAGAAGAUCUUGAAUCGGACAAAGAUUUCUCCGAUACAGACAAGGGCAGAUGAUGAUGAUGAAUCGCAGAUGACGGUUGCUGGUAAACCCGGUUGCUAGAGGCAUAAGUAAUGUAAACAGAUCGUUCACUUAACGUAGAUUAUUUUUAUUUGAGCAGAUUCCACUAUGUGUUUAUAGUAUAGUUGUUAGAAACAUCGUGUUCUUUUCCCAAUUUUAUGUGUAAAGCAGCCUAAAUCCUGCAAAACGUUUCUUUACGGUGGUAUGAUGUUGAAAUUAGUGGCCGUCGCGGUGUGUACACUGACACUACAAUUGCUUACUGAGUCAACUGGUGAAGCCGAUUAGCGAAGAAAUAAGCUUUUGACAAACAUUUUACUUUUAUUUAAAUUUAACCUGCAAGAAAAAAAAAUUGUAACGUAGAGGGCAUCACUGAAAGUACUUCCAGUUUUUUUAUAUUGUAAGUAUGGUUUUAAUGCUAAAUAUAUUUGUGUAGUUUGGGACUGAGAAAUAAACUACAAGUUGUCAUGA
Molecule: long non-coding RNA, 826 nt
Organism: Pocillopora verrucosa
Lineage: Eukaryota; Metazoa; Cnidaria; Anthozoa; Scleractinia; Pocilloporidae
Source: RefSeq, a predicted model, not a curated record